Molecule: long non-coding RNA, 1252 nt
Organism: Homo sapiens (human)
Lineage: Eukaryota; Metazoa; Chordata; Mammalia; Primates; Hominidae
Product: long intergenic non-protein coding RNA 293
Source: Ensembl
GACACACAUCUAGGCCAAUUGCUUAAGUGAAGUGAGUCUCCUCACCUUCCUAAGCCCUGUCCAGGGGGAAUUUUGAUGUAUCACAAAAACCAGCAUCCAGUUGAUGUGACUCUUCUUCCAGGGUCCUGCCCACAAGAAAGAUUGUGACAUCUCACUGGACAAGCACCCACCCAGACUCUGCCAAGAGAGGGGAUUAUUACAUAUUGCAGAGCCCAGCACCUAGGUGGAGUGACUCUCAUCUUUUUCUUCUACCCCGUAUAUAGCCAGCUUGGUGACCUACUAUUUGAGUCUAUACCCAGGCCCAGACCACAGAUGAAAUUGUGCAAUAUGUGGAACAAACACCUAAACAAUAUAUAACACCUUCCUUGGCUCUGUCUACAAAGGGCACUUUUAUAUAUCACUGGGACCAUCAACCAGGUGAUGUUAAUUAUCUUCCUGAAACCUGUCUACAAAGAGAGUUGUGUCGUAUACCUAGGCCCGUCAUGUAAGUGAUGUCAGUCCCUUCUACUGCCUUGGCCCUGCACUUACAGUGCAUUGUGACACAUAACAAGGUACUGCACACAGACGAUGUGAUUCUCCUUUUUGGGUUCUGCCAAAAGGAAGCAUUGUAAUAAAUCGCUUGGCUCAGUACCAAGGUGAUGUUUCUUUGCUUUUGCCUGGGCCCUGAUAACAGGGAGAUUGUGAUCUAUUGCUGGGCCCAACAAAAAUGUGAGGUCACUCUCCAGCCGUGGUACUUCACAUAAGCGCCAUUGUGACAUGUAUCUAGGCCAAUUGCCUAGGUGAAGUGAGUUUCCUCUCUUGCCAAAGUCCUGCCCACAGAGGGGGUUUUGAUAUGUCACUGAAAUCAGCAUUCAGGUGAUGUGACUCUUCUGCCAGGGUCCUGCGUACUAGGUGGAUUGUGACAUCUCACUGGACCCGCAACCAUGUAGGUCAUGUGACUUUCAUGCCUUCUCACUGGCCACAGGUGAUGUUGUGCCAUAUAACUGAGACCGUAUCAAAAGCCUAAUAACAAGACGUAUGUCUGGAGCCCCGAUAUGCACAGGAUGGUGAUAUAACCCUCUUCUCUGGAAUGGGCCCCACACAAAGGAAGGAUAGUGACAUAUUGCAAGCCCAGGCACACAGGAACAUUGUGACAUCGCUGGAUGUAGCAUCUACGAAAUGUGACUCUCCUCUCCUGCUUAGGUCCUGCCCACAAAAGGAAUUGUGACAUAUCACUGAGUGCAAAACCUAGUAAAUGCAACUCUCCUCUUUA